ACACGUCAAGAUCAGGUAUCAAUCUGAAUCCGAUUGGCUUGAUUUUUGACACGGGGAAUGAUCUUAACGACUUCUACAAAUUGAUUGUCUCAGAUCAUCGAAAGAUUAACCACACAGGUAGAAAAUUCCCCCUGAGUGUUCUUUGAAUCUUGUUCUCUUCAGAACGACGUAAUUUCAAUGACUUCUCAUCUUUAACAUGCGAAGUCCAUCAAAACGACGCCGCACCAGUUCAAGGCUCCCGUUGCAGGGAUUGCGUGGUGUAAUUGAUCAAUUGUGAACCCGUGCCUAUUUGUAUCAUCGAAACAGUUCAGGUUGUAGAAAAUGUCGAGAUGAUAAAUCUUGUUUAAGAUAAUAUCAAUCGGACACUGGUUAAAGCAUAAUCGGAGAUGAUUUGUGUGAGAUUAUUUUUAUGAAAAUAGAUAUGGCCAUACCGGAUGAAACCCAUUUUAUCACUGGAUGUUUAAGAGAGAGAGAGAGAGAGAGAGAGAGAGAGAGUUCUGGGGUUGUUCAGCUUAAGAGAGAGAGAGAGAGAGAGUUCUGGGGUUGUUCAGCUUAUGGAUUUUCAUCGCGCUCUACAGCUGAGGAAGUCACCGAAGCCCGGAGGAAUUCACGGGACUGGUCUCGCUGCCAUUGCAACACAGAUUUUCAGAGAUUAUCUCGACUAGAGGGCAUUAUCCCAGCUCUAGAGACAUCUCAUGCUCUCGCAAAUAUGGAGAAGCUCUGUCCAACCCUCGCAAAUGGAACUAAGACGUUCAGACGGCUAUUAAGUAUUUGCAGGUUUAGUCAUUGUGUGAAUAGGAUGUUAUGACCACACAGAUUUUGGUAAUGGUAAUAUUCGUUUCUUUGACGGAUCGGUUUGUUGUAUAAUAAAACCAAUAGUCAUUCUGUUGAAUAUGGAAGUAAUAUAGAUAUUGGGAUACAGGUUAAUUUACCCAUGAUCUUGUAGUAGAGAGUGCAGAAAUGACAUGCUUGUCAAUGGUCUUUGGCCUUUGGGAUACUUGUUAUGUUGUACUGCAGAUGUUUUGAGUUUUCAAGCAAGGAUUAUAUGAUGUUUACUUUUUGAA
Molecule: long non-coding RNA, 1064 nt
Organism: Rhododendron vialii
Lineage: Eukaryota; Viridiplantae; Streptophyta; Magnoliopsida; Ericales; Ericaceae
Exons: 2
Source: RefSeq, a predicted model, not a curated record